CCACAGAGCUGAAUUAAAUAGCAUUGGGAGGCAUAGUUGCAGGCUGAGGAAGAGUGCUGUUUUCUGGUGUCUGAGGCAUCUGGGGCAGAGGUGGUAGAACUAGCUGGGUAAGGAGGUCCUCUUUAUCACCAUGAACUUGCAAGGUCUGUCCACAGAUGACCAGUUCUCCUUGGCUAUUAGACCCAGAGGACUUUCUCCAUAAGACAGGUGAAAAGUCUGACAGGAGUCUUAGGUGUACAGCGUAAUGUAAAUUUGAAAAUAGUUACUCCAUCUGUUUAUUCUAUUUUGGUCUUGGGGUUCAAGGGUUUCUGAACCUGAGGUAAGGUUACACUUUGUUUCAUGAAAGUUCUAGUUUUUUUUUUCUUUGUUGAAGGAAACCAAACCAUUCACAGAUUCAUUGACUGAAGUGCUUUCCUGUGACUUGAAAGAUGAGUAGACGAGCCACCUGUCUUCCUGAAUUGUCACCAGUCACACUGCAAAUCUUGAUAUCCCAUAGAUCAUAAAAGCUGUAGGAGGCUGAUUCAGGGGCACUAGUCACUUACCUGAUGCAUGGCUAUUAAGCAGGGGGACAGAGCAAGGAUGCACACAUAGUUCAUGAUUUUGUUCCUUUUGUUUGAACACCAGUGUGCUGAACUGUGAAGUUGACAUGGCAUUUACUGGCUUGCAUUGUUCAGGUAAGUGGGCAGAAAGAUAAAGGAAGACCAAUUUCCCCUCCACCCCAGCACUGCUUUUGAUAGUGUCAAAAAGGAAAGCUUGGUCUGAGCAAAACUCCACGGUUAGGCCAGUGGGAGCACACAGGGUACUCAGGAAGCGCUGCAGGGGAGAGCGACGAGGAGAUAGUUAUGGCUAUGGCAUUGGUGGAACUCUGCUGGUGGGCAUGGGUUGUGCAGGAGGUGAUACUUAUGACUCAUCUAGAC
Molecule: long non-coding RNA, 917 nt
Filed under: Marmota monax (woodchuck)
Lineage: Eukaryota; Metazoa; Chordata; Mammalia; Rodentia; Sciuridae
Source: RNAcentral